RNAcentral lists this unclassified non-coding RNA (332 nucleotides) under soil metagenome. Its description in RNAcentral is "partial contains 5.8S ribosomal RNA, internal transcribed spacer 2, and large subunit ribosomal RNA". The stretch from base 1 to 120 matches the Rfam family "5.8S ribosomal RNA", at positions 35 to 154 of the family's 154-position model. The record is from RNAcentral.
GAUGAAGAACGUAGCGAAAUGCGAUAAGUAGUGUGAAUUGCAGAAUUCAGUGAAUCAUCGAAUCUUUGAACGCACAUUUCGCCCUUUGGUAUUCCUUAGGGCAUGCCUGUUCGAGCGUCAUUUAAACCUUCAAGCUAAGCUUGGUGUUGGGUGACUGUCCGCUUCACGGCGGACUCGCCUCAAAAUUAUUGGCGGCCGGUACAUUGGCUUCGAGCGCAGCAGAAACGCGAACUCGGGCCCGUCGUAUUGGCUCCCAGAAGCUAUCUUCACAAUUUUGACCUCGGAUCAGGUAGGGAUACCCGCUGAACUUAAGCAUAUCAAUAAGCGGAGGA